GACUGGGGUCGGGUUGGCCGUAGUAAGUACAGGCGGCGCCGGCGGCGCACAGGAGCGGCUGGGACCGGCGGGGAUGACGCCGGAGAUUGGUUUCGGCCAGAGGAGUGCGAUCACCUCUAGUUAGGAUGACUUCCAGAGGCCGAAAACCAAUGUGGUGGAGACAAGUGGAGGGAGGAGUUGAGAGGGAGGUCGAUGUGGCUUUUCCGGCGGCCGGUGGUGCUCGCCAGCUGCCGAGGCGUGCGCAGGAGUGGGGCAGAAGGGUGUUGCAACGGUUAGUGUUAGCUGAAUAGACUGGGGUGGCUAGGUCUAGGGUUUGGUGCAAA
This 323-nucleotide long non-coding RNA is filed under the name Ananas comosus (pineapple). RNAcentral describes it as "long non-coding RNA (ACOM_LNC005582)". The record is from RNAcentral. Lineage: Eukaryota; Viridiplantae; Streptophyta; Magnoliopsida; Poales; Bromeliaceae.